AGCAGCCGCGGUAAUUCCAGCUCCAAUAGCGUAUAUUAAAGUUGUUGCAGUUAAAAAGCUCGUAGUUGAAUUUCGGGGUCAGUAGGUUGGUCAUGCCACUGGUAUGUACUGGUCUCACUGAUUCCUCCUUCCUGAUGAACUGUAAUGCCAUUAAUUUGGUGUUGCAGGGAAUCUGGACUGUUACUUUGAAAAAUUAGAGUGUUUAAAGCAGGCUAACGCCUGAAUACAUUAGCGUGGAAUAAUGAAAUAGGACGUUCGAUCCUAUUUUGUUGGUUUCUAGGAUUGACGUAAUGAUUAAUAGGGAUAGUUGGGGGCGAUUAGUAUUCAAUUGUCAGAGGUGAAAUUCUUGGAUUUAUUGAAGACUAACUACUGCGAAAGCAUUUGCCAAGGAUGUUUUCUAUUAA
This 404-nucleotide ribosomal RNA is filed under the name uncultured Glomeromycotina. Its description in RNAcentral is "SSU rRNA". It matches the Rfam family "Eukaryotic small subunit ribosomal RNA", at positions 569 to 976 of the family's 1831-position model. The record is from RNAcentral. Lineage: Eukaryota; Fungi; Glomeromycota.